This 490-nucleotide ribosomal RNA is filed under the name uncultured bacterium. Its description in RNAcentral is "partial 16S ribosomal RNA". It matches the Rfam family "Bacterial small subunit ribosomal RNA", at positions 30 to 507 of the family's 1533-position model. The record is from RNAcentral.
AUUGAACGCUGGCGGCAGGCCUAACACAUGCAAGUCGAACGGUAACAGGGAUCAGCUUGCUGAUUCGCUGUCGAGUGGCGGACGGGUGAGUAAUGUCUGGGAAACUGCCUGAUGGAGGGGGUUAACUACUGGAAACGGUAGCUAAUACCGCAUAACGUCGCAAGACCAAAGAGGGGGACCUUCGGGCCUCUUGCCAUCGGAUGUGCCCAGAUGGGAUUAGCUAGUAGGUGGGGUAACGGCUUACCUAGGCAACGAUCCCUAGCUGGUCUGAGAGGAUGACCGGCCACACUGGAACUGAGACACGGUCCAGACUCCUACGGGAGGCAGCAGUGGGGAAUAUUGCACAAUGGGCGCAAGCCUGAUGCAGCCAUGCCGCGUGUAUGAAGAAGGCCUUCGGGUUGUAAAGUACUUUCAGCGGGGAGGAAGGGAGUAAAGUUAAUACCUUCGCUCAUUGACGUUACCCGCAGAAGAAGCACCGGCUAACUCCGUG